UAAGCAUAUCAAUAAGCGGAGGAAAAGAAACCAACAGGGAUUGCCUUAGUAACGGCGAGUGAAGCGGCAACAGCUCAAAUUUGAAAUCUGGCUCUUUUAGGGUCCGAGUUGUAAUUUGCAGAGGGCGCUUUGGCUUUGGCAGCGGUCCAAGUUCCUUGGAACAGGACGUCACAGAGGGUGAGAAUCCCGUACGUGGUCGCUAGCUAUUGCCGUGUAAAGCCCCUUCGACRAGUCGAGUUGUUUGGGAAUGCAGCUCUAAAUGGGAGGUAAAUUUCUUCUAAAGCUAAAUAUUGGCCAGAGACCGAUAGCGCACAAGUAGAGUGAUCGAAAGAUGAAAAGCACUUUGGAAAGAGAGUCAAACAGCACGUGAAAUUGUUGAAAGGGAAGCGCUUGCAGCCAGACUUGCUUGCAGUUGCUCAUCCGGGCUUUUGCCCKGUGCACUCUUCUGCAGGCAGGCCAGCAUCAGUUUGGGCGGUGGGAUAAAGGUCUCUGACACKUUCCUUCCUUCGGGUUGGCCAUAUAGGGGAGACSUCAUACCACCAGCCUGGACUGAGGUCCGCGCAUCUGCUAGGAUGCUGGCGUAAUGGCUGUAAGCGGCCCGUCUUGAAACACGGACCAAGGAGUCUAACAUCUAUGCGAGUGUUUGGGUGUCAAGCCCGAGCGCGUAAUGAAAGUGAACGGAGGUGGGAACCCGCAAGGGCGCACCAUCGACCGAUCCUGAAGUUUACGGAAGGAUUUGAGUAAGAGCAUGGCUGUUGGGACCCGAAAGAUGGUGAACUAUGCUUGAAUAGGGUGAAGCCAGAGGAAACUCUGGUGGAGGCUCGCAGCGGUUCUGACGUGCAAAUCGAUCGUCAAAUUUGGGCAUAGGGGCGAAAGACUAAUCUAACUAUCUAGUAG
This 897-nucleotide ribosomal RNA is filed under the name Curvularia coicis. Its description in RNAcentral is "LSU rRNA". It matches the Rfam family "Eukaryotic large subunit ribosomal RNA", at positions 35 to 950 of the family's 3401-position model. The record is from RNAcentral. Lineage: Eukaryota; Fungi; Ascomycota; Dothideomycetes; Pleosporales; Pleosporaceae.